GACGUAGGGCGCGAGCGUUGUCCGGAUUUAUUGGGCGUAAAGAGCUCGUAGGCGGCUUGUCGCGUCGACUGUGAAAACCCGCGGCUCAACUGUGGGCUUGCAGUCGAUACGGGCUAGCUAGAGUUCGGUAGGGGAGACUGGAAUUCCUGGUGUAGCGGUGAAAUGCGCAGAUAUCAGGAGGAACACCGGUGGCGAAGGCGGGUCUCUGGGCCGAUACUGACGCUGAGGAGCGAAAGCGUGGGGAGCGAACAGG
RNAcentral lists this ribosomal RNA (253 nucleotides) under uncultured bacterium. RNAcentral describes it as "partial 16S ribosomal RNA". It matches the Rfam family "Bacterial small subunit ribosomal RNA", at positions 524 to 776 of the family's 1533-position model. The record is from RNAcentral.